UACGAAGGGGGGCUAGCGUUGCUCGGAUUGACUGGGCGUAAAGGGCGCGUAGGCGGUUCGUACAGUCAGACGUGAAAUUCCUGGGCUCAACCUGGGGGCUGCGUUUGAUACGUGCGGACUUGAGUGCGGAAGAGGGUCGUGGAAUUCCCAGUGUAGAGGUGAAAUUCGUAGAUAUUGGGAAGAACACCGGUGGCGAAGGCGGCGACCUGGUCCUUUUACUGACGCUGAGGCGCGAAAGCGUGGGGAGCAAACAGG
This 255-nucleotide ribosomal RNA is filed under the name uncultured bacterium. Its description in RNAcentral is "partial 16S ribosomal RNA". It matches the Rfam family "Bacterial small subunit ribosomal RNA", at positions 524 to 776 of the family's 1533-position model. The record is from RNAcentral.